Molecule: long non-coding RNA, 472 nt
Filed under: Homo sapiens (human)
Lineage: Eukaryota; Metazoa; Chordata; Mammalia; Primates; Hominidae
Description: novel transcript
Source: RNAcentral
GUGAAGAAAGGAACAAGGUGUUCAGCUAAUAACGUGGUUUGGGAAGGGAGUUUGAAAAGAGAAGAUAAAGAAAUACUCAUCUAGGAGAGUAGGAGUGUGGAUGGACUAGAAAAAAGAAAAAGAAAUUCUUGGUCCCCAACAUGGAAAUCCAAGAUGCAAGGAAAUCAUAGGCUCUGAAUCACCUGGGGAAGAAACCGCUGCAGACCAAAUUGCAUCUUAGAUCCAUUAAAUCAGAAACUUGGAUUGCUGGAUUCAGGUACAAGUAUUUUUAAAGCUCCCUAAGUGAUUAUAAUGUAUAGCCAAAGUUGAGAACUACUGCUUUGGAGCCACUGGUCUAAUGGAACAAAUUGCAUUGAUUUACUUCCCUUAAUAUUACUAUGUAUAACUAACUAAAUAAGAUGUAUUAUUUUAUGUUUCUUCUUAAUAUUGGCAUAAACCAAUAAAUUAGUGUAUGUAUGUUUCAUUGUUAGAA